GGGCCGUUAGCUCAUCGGUUAGAGUACCUCGUUGACAUCGAGGGGGUAGUUAGUUCGAUUCUAACACGGCCCACCA
Molecule: transfer RNA, 76 nt
Filed under: Candidatus Pelagibacter sp.
Lineage: Bacteria; Pseudomonadati; Pseudomonadota; Alphaproteobacteria; Candidatus Pelagibacterales; Candidatus Pelagibacteraceae
Description: tRNA-Val
Rfam family: tRNA
About the family: Transfer RNA (tRNA) molecules are approximately 80 nucleotides in length. Their secondary structure includes four short double-helical elements and three loops (D, anti-codon, and T loops).
Source: RNAcentral